This 486-nucleotide ribosomal RNA is filed under the name uncultured bacterium. Its description in RNAcentral is "partial 16S ribosomal RNA". It matches the Rfam family "Bacterial small subunit ribosomal RNA", at positions 30 to 507 of the family's 1533-position model. The record is from RNAcentral.
AUUGAACGCUGGCGGCAUGCCUUACACAUGCAAGUCGAACGGCAGCACGGGUGCUUGCCCCUGGUGGCGAGCGGCGAACGGGUGAGUAAUACAUCGGAACAUGUCCUGUAGUGGGGGAUAGCCCGGCGAAAGCCGGAUUAAUACCGCAUACGAUCUACGGAUGAAAGCGGGGGACCUUCGGGCCUCGCGCUAUAGGGUUGGCCGAUGGCUGAUUAGCUAGUUGGUGGGGUAAAGGCCUACCAAGGCGACGAUCAGUAGCUGGUCUGAGAGGACGACCAGCCACACUGGGACUGAGACACGGCCCAGACUCCUACGGGAGGCAGCAGUGGGGAAUUUUGGACAAUGGGCGAAAGCCUGAUCCAGCAAUGCCGCGUGUGUGAAGAAGGCCUUCGGGUUGUAAAGCACUUUUGUCCGGAAAGAAAUCCUUGGCCCUAAUACGGUCGGGGGAUGACGGUACCGGAAGAAUAAGCACCGGCUAACUACGUG